RNAcentral lists this unclassified non-coding RNA (24 nucleotides) under Mus musculus (house mouse). Its description in RNAcentral is "oocyte_clustered_small_RNA6881". The record is from RNAcentral. Lineage: Eukaryota; Metazoa; Chordata; Mammalia; Rodentia; Muridae.
UGCUCUCCUGUGGUACCAGACACA